GUCUACGGCCAAACCACCCUGAACACGCCCGAUCUCAUCUGACCUCAGAAGCUAAGCAGGGUUGGGCCUGGUUAGCACUUGGAUGGGAGACAGUAAUAAGACAUGUUAUGCAGAGG
RNAcentral lists this ribosomal RNA (116 nucleotides) under Chinchilla lanigera (long-tailed chinchilla). Lineage: Eukaryota; Metazoa; Chordata; Mammalia; Rodentia; Chinchillidae. The record is from RNAcentral.